UGAGGAAUAUUGGGCAAUGGGCGCAAGCCUGACCCAGCAACGCCGCGUGGAGGACGAAGGCCUUCGGGUCGUAAACUCCUUUUACGGGGGAAGAGGAAGGACGGUACCCCGAGAAUAAGUCACGGCUAACUACGUGCCAGCAGCCGCGGUAAUACGUAGGUGACGAGCGUUAUCCGGAAUUACUGGGCGUAAAGCGCACGCAGGCGGCGCCUUAAGUCUGACGUGAAAUCUCUCGGCUUAACCGGGAGGGGUCGUUGGAGACUGGGGAGCUUGAGGCGAUGAGAGGGGUGUAGAAUUCCCGGUGUAGUGGUGGAAUGCGUAGAUAUCGGGAGGAAUACCAGUGGCGAAAGCGACACCCUGGCAUUAGCCUGACGCUCAGGUGCGAAAGCGUGGGGAGCGAACGGG
RNAcentral lists this ribosomal RNA (405 nucleotides) under uncultured bacterium. Its description in RNAcentral is "bacterial SSU rRNA". It matches the Rfam family "Bacterial small subunit ribosomal RNA", at positions 355 to 776 of the family's 1533-position model. The record is from RNAcentral.